GGACCCGUCGCCUAGUAUGGAUUAGGGCGCCAGCCUUCGGAGCUGGAUGUCGUGGGUUCAAAUCCCACCGGGUCCG
This 76-nucleotide transfer RNA is filed under the name Thermoproteota archaeon. Its description in RNAcentral is "tRNA-Arg". It matches the Rfam family "tRNA". Rfam says of the family: Transfer RNA (tRNA) molecules are approximately 80 nucleotides in length. Lineage: Archaea; Thermoproteati; Thermoproteota. The record is from RNAcentral. RNAcentral also lists the same sequence under 3 other names.